RNAcentral lists this ribosomal RNA (253 nucleotides) under uncultured bacterium. RNAcentral's name for it is "partial 16S ribosomal RNA". It matches the Rfam family "Bacterial small subunit ribosomal RNA", at positions 524 to 776 of the family's 1533-position model. The record is from RNAcentral.
UACGUAGGGUGCAAGCGUUAAUCGGAAUUACUGGGCGUAAAGCGUGCGCAGGCGGCUUUGCAAGUCAGAUGUGAAAUCCCCGGGCUCAACCUGGGAACUGCAUUUGUGACUGCAUGGCUAGAGUACGGUAGAGGGGGAUGGAAUUCCGCGUGUAGCAGUGAAAUGCGUAGAUAUGCGGAGGAACACCGAUGGCGAAGGCAAUCCCCUGGACCUGUACUGACGCUCAUGCACGAAAGCGUGGGGAGCAAACAGG